Molecule: RNase P RNA, 134 nt
Filed under: Lachnospiraceae bacterium
Lineage: Bacteria; Bacillati; Bacillota; Clostridia; Lachnospirales; Lachnospiraceae
Description: partial RNase P RNA component class A
Rfam family: Bacterial RNase P class A
About the family: Ribonuclease P (RNase P) is a ubiquitous endoribonuclease, found in archaea, bacteria and eukarya as well as chloroplasts and mitochondria. Its best characterised activity is the generation of mature 5'-ends of tRNAs by cleaving the 5'-leader elements of precursor-tRNAs.
Source: RNAcentral
CGAGUGGGAUAAAUGAUCGCGCCUGUCUGUCCGCAAGGUGGCAGGUGAGGAAAGUCCGGGCUUCACAGGGCAGGAUGCCGGAUAACGUCCGGUGGAGGCGACUCCAAGGAUAGUGCAACAGAAAUAAACCGCCG